GAUGAACGCUGGCGGCGUGCCUAAUACAUGCAAGUCGAGCGAACAGACGAGGAGCUUGCUCCUCUGACGUUAGCGGCGGACGGGUGAGUAACACGUGGAUAACCUACCUAUAAGACUGGGAUAACUUCGGGAAACCGGAGCUAAUACCGGAUAAUAUAUUGAACCGCAUGGUUCAAUAGUGAAAGACGGUUUUGCUGUCACUUAUAGAUGGAUCCGCGCCGCAUUAGCUAGUUGGUAAGGUAACGGCUUACCAAGGCAACGAUGCGUAGCCGACCUGAGAGGGUGAUCGGCCACACUGGAACUGAGACACGGUUCAGACUCCUACGGGAGGCAGCAGUAGGGAAUCUUCCGCAAUGGGCGCAAGCCUGACGGAGCCACGCCGCGUGAGUGAUGAAGGUCUUCGGAUCGUAAAGCUCUUUUAUUAGGGAAGAACAAAUGUGUAAGUAACUAUGCCCGUCUUGACGGUACCUAAUCAGAAAGCCACGGCUAACUACGUG
Molecule: ribosomal RNA, 497 nt
Filed under: uncultured bacterium
Lineage: Bacteria
Description: partial 16S ribosomal RNA
Rfam family: Bacterial small subunit ribosomal RNA
Source: RNAcentral